UCAGUGUUCCCACCAGCUAUGAAAAAAAAUUAAGAUUGUGUUUAUAUCUUAAAUCCAGAGGGUAAACUACAAAUUGAAAGACUCCACCAAUCACCUCCCAGAAAAUCUCCCAGGAAUAUCUUGGAAAAAUUCUAGAGAUCCCAGGUCAGAGAGGAAAUACUUCAAACAACCAUCAAGAAAUAAUUCAAAUAUCAUGGUGCCAUUUUCACAUUUAAGGAGAAGAAGGCAUGGAAUAUGAUAUAUCAGAAGACAAAGAAGUGGUACACAAGAGAAGAGACUGAGGACAUGAACUCCAGACUAUAGUAACUCCUCAAAGUGAAUGGAGUCUUGUCAUCAAGGUAGUCCUCAGGCUGAACUCAUCAGCCAAACACCUGUACUUUUGAGCCAGAAAAUAGGAAGAAAGAUGGGGCGGAGUCAAGAUGGCAGCUUAGCAAGCAGCAAAAGUUCAGACCUCCUGGAAGACCCUUCCUUACCGAUACAGACUGAAUGCUCCUAG
RNAcentral lists this long non-coding RNA (496 nucleotides) under Monodelphis domestica (gray short-tailed opossum). RNAcentral's name for it is "lncRNA (ENSMODG00000040899.1)". Lineage: Eukaryota; Metazoa; Chordata; Mammalia; Didelphimorphia; Didelphidae. The record is from RNAcentral.